GCCCUUGUAGCUCAGGUGGUAGAGCAGUGGAUUUGUAAUCCGAAGGCCGCGCGUUCAAAUCGUGCCGGGGGCACCA
RNAcentral lists this transfer RNA (76 nucleotides) under Sulfitobacter litoralis. Its description in RNAcentral is "tRNA-Thr". It matches the Rfam family "tRNA". From Rfam's summary of the family: Transfer RNA (tRNA) molecules are approximately 80 nucleotides in length. Their secondary structure includes four short double-helical elements and three loops (D, anti-codon, and T loops). Further hydrogen bonds mediate the characteristic L-shaped molecular structure. tRNAs have two regions of fundamental functional importance: the anti-codon, which is responsible for specific mRNA codon recognition, and the 3' end, to which the tRNAs corresponding amino acid is attached (by aminoacyl-tRNA synthetases). tRNAs cope with the degeneracy of the genetic code in two manners: having more than one tRNA (with a specific anti-codon) for a particular amino acid; and 'wobble' base-pairing, i.e. permitting non-standard base-pairing at the 3rd anti-codon position. Lineage: Bacteria; Pseudomonadati; Pseudomonadota; Alphaproteobacteria; Rhodobacterales; Roseobacteraceae. The record is from RNAcentral. RNAcentral also lists the same sequence under 1 other name.